GCACUUGGUUAAUUUUAUGGGUUUGGACAAAUGUAGUUGACAAGGUCAAGCGUGCACAUCAAUUACAGGCACAGGCCCAACCAAACUCUCCAAGCUCUGAGGACAACGAUAUGCAGACAGGAAACUCACACACACACACACACACGAACACGCAGAGCGAAGCGUGCAGUUGACCUCUCAAUUUAGCGCGCAUAAUGCCAGGAAAUGCCAACAUUUAAACACACACAAGAGUGAGGAUGAGCCUGAGAGACUCGACGCGACUGCGCUUGGCUGAGAGUCUCUAAACAGCGUCGGGCUUGCAACGCUUGUGGCAGCCACAUGUGGACUCUUUGCUGUGUGCACUUUUAUUCACUGGCAAUUCUAAAGUUUUGAGCAUGACAUGCCACAAAUGUAAGCGUAAGCAGCAGCUGAUUAAUCGAUAGCUGCUGAUAAUUUAGCAUGUUGUUAUCGUUUGUAUUCUUAAAUCCUUUCACGCCAAAAUUAAGCCAUUAGCAGCCUCGAAGGUUUACGAGCUUGCUGUGCUCUUUGUCUGUGUGUGUCUCUUCUAAAGUGCUCCACAAAAAACGGCCCAUAAAUUGCACAGACAGUGUAAAACAACUUCAUAA
Molecule: long non-coding RNA, 605 nt
Organism: Drosophila busckii
Lineage: Eukaryota; Metazoa; Arthropoda; Insecta; Diptera; Drosophilidae
Exons: 4
Source: RefSeq, a predicted model, not a curated record